UACGAAGGGGGCUAGCGUUGCUCGGAAUCACUGGGCGUAAAGCGCACGUAGGCGGCUUUUUAAGUCAGGGGUGAAAUCCUGGAGCUCAACUCCAGAACUGCCUUUGAUACUGAGAGCUUGAGUCCGGGAGAGGUGAGUGGAACUGCGGAGUGUAGAGGUGAAAUUCGUAGAUAUUCGCAAGAACACCAGUGGCGAAGGCGGCUCACUGGCCCGGUACUGACGCUGAGGUGCGAAAGCGUGGGGAGCAAACAGGG
RNAcentral lists this ribosomal RNA (254 nucleotides) under uncultured bacterium. Its description in RNAcentral is "partial 16S ribosomal RNA". It matches the Rfam family "Bacterial small subunit ribosomal RNA", at positions 524 to 777 of the family's 1533-position model. The record is from RNAcentral.